RNAcentral lists this ribosomal RNA (468 nucleotides) under uncultured bacterium. RNAcentral's name for it is "partial 16S ribosomal RNA". It matches the Rfam family "Bacterial small subunit ribosomal RNA", at positions 28 to 507 of the family's 1533-position model. The record is from RNAcentral.
GACGAACGCUGGCGGCGUGCUUAACACAUGCAAGUCGAACGGAAAGGCCCUGCUUUUGUGGGGUGCUCGAGUGGCGAACGGGUGAGUAACACGUGAGUAACCUGCCCUUGACUUUGGGAUAACUUCAGGAAACUGGGUCUAAUACCGGAUAGGAGCUCCUGCUGCAUGGUGGGGGUUGGAAAGUUUCGGCGGUUGGGGAUGGACUCGCGGCUUAUCAGCUUGUUGGUGGGGUAGUGGCUUACCAAGGCUUUGACGGGUAGCCGGCCUGAGAGGGUGACCGGCCACAUUGGGACUGAGAUACGGCGCAGACUCCUACGGGAGGCAGCAGUGGGGAAUAUUGCACAAUGGGCGGAAGCCUGAUGCAGCAACGCCGCGUGCGGGAUGACGGCCUUCGGGUUGUAAACCGAUUUCGACUGUGACGAAGCGUGAGUGACGGUAAUGGGUAAAGAAGCACCGGCUAACUACGUG